RNAcentral lists this ribosomal RNA (563 nucleotides) under uncultured bacterium. Its description in RNAcentral is "bacterial SSU rRNA". It matches the Rfam family "Bacterial small subunit ribosomal RNA", at positions 338 to 916 of the family's 1533-position model. The record is from RNAcentral.
CCUACGGGAGGCAGCAGUGGGGAAUCUUGCGCAAUGGGCGAAAGCCUGACGCAGCAACGCCGCGUGCGGGAUGAAGGCCUUAGGGUUGUAAACCGCUUUCAGCAGGGAAGAAAAUGACUGUACCUGCAGAAGAAGGUGCGGCCAACUACGUGCCAGCAGCCGCGGUGACACGUAGGCACCAAGCGUUGUCCGGAUUUAUUGGGCGUAAAGAGCUCGUAGGCGGUUCAGUUAGUUGGGUGUGAAAACUCCGGGCUUAACCCGGAGCCGCCACCCAAUACUGCUGUGACUAGAGUUCGGUAGGGGAGCGGGGAAUUCCUAGUGUAGCGGUGAAAUGCGCAGAUAUUAGGAGGAACACCGGUGGCGAAGGCGCCGCUCUGGGCCGAAACUGACGCUGAGGAGCGAAAGCAUGGGUAGCAAACAGGAUUAGAUACCCUGGUAGUCCAUGCCGUAAACGUUGGGCACUAGGUGUGGGCUUCAUCCAACGAAGUCCGCGCCGUCGCUAACGCAUUAAGUGCCCCGCCUGGGGAGUACGGUCGCAAGCUAAAACUCAAAGGAAUUGACGG